AUUGAACGCUGGCGGCAUGCUUUACACAUGCAAGUCGAACGGUAACAGGCCUUCGGGUGCUGACGAGUGGCGAACGGGUGAGUAAUGCAUCGGAACGUGCCCAGAGGUGGGGGAUAACGCAGCGAAAGCUGUGCUAAUACCGCAUGUGGUCUGAGGAUGAAAGCGGGGGACCAAGCAGCAAUGUUUGGCCUCGCGCCUCUGGAGCGGCCGAUGUCAGAUUAGGUAGUUGGUGGGGUAAAGGCCUACCAAGCCGACGAUCUGUAGCUGGUCUGAGAGGACGACCAGCCACACUGGGACUGAGACACGGCCCAGACUCCUACGGGAGGCAGCAGUGGGGAAUUUUGGACAAUGGGCGCAAGCCUGAUCCAGCAAUGCCGCGUGCGGGAAGAAGGACUUCGGGUUGUAAACCGCUUUUGUACGGAACGAAAAGGCUCUGGCUAAUACCUGGGGCUGAUGACGGUACCGUAAGAAUAAGCACCGGCUAACUACGUG
RNAcentral lists this ribosomal RNA (492 nucleotides) under uncultured bacterium. RNAcentral's name for it is "partial 16S ribosomal RNA". It matches the Rfam family "Bacterial small subunit ribosomal RNA", at positions 30 to 507 of the family's 1533-position model. The record is from RNAcentral.